CAGAGUAUAAAUUGAGAGACAGCCUAAUAAAUGGAACAACUAAAAUCAGCUACCACAAUAUCUUCUUAAUACAUGUUAUUCAAAGUUGCAGAAGUUUAGCAAUGAGAAGCGACCAAACACAGGCAACAUUGGAUAAAGAAGUCACAUUGAAAUUAUCAGAAGAAUAUAAUCCAACUAGGCUAAACGUCAAAAAGUGCAAAAAAAAAAAAAAAAAAAAA
RNAcentral lists this unclassified non-coding RNA (218 nucleotides) under Hevea brasiliensis (rubber tree). The record is from RNAcentral. Lineage: Eukaryota; Viridiplantae; Streptophyta; Magnoliopsida; Malpighiales; Euphorbiaceae.